CGGAGGAUCCGAGCGUUAUCCGGGAUUUAUUGGGUUUAAAGGGGUGCGUAGGCGGCCUUUUAAGUCAGCGGUGAAAGUCUGUGGCUCAACCCAUAGAAUUGCCGUUGAAACUGGGGGGCUUGAGUAUGUUUGAGGCAGGCGGAAUGCGUGGUGUAGCGGUGAAAUGCUUAGAUAUCACGCAGAACCCCGAUUGCGAAGGCAGCCUGCCAAGCCAUGACUGACGCUGAUGCACGAAAGCGUGGGGAUCAAACAGGAUUAGAUACCCUGGUAGUCCACGCAGUAAACGAUGAUCACUAGCUGUUUGCGAUACAGUGUAAGCGGCACAGCGAAAGCGUUAAGUGAUCCACCUGGGGAGUACGCCGGCAACGGUGAAACUCAAAGGAAUUGACGGGGGCCCGCACAAGCGGAGGAACAUGUGGUUUAAUUCGAUGAUACGCGAGGAACCUUACCCGGGUUUGAACGCAUUCGGACCGAGGUGGAAACACCUUUUCUAGCAAUAGCCGUUUGCGAGGUGCUGCAUGGUUGUCGUCAGCUCGUGCCGUGAGGUGUCGGCUUAAGUGCCAUAACGAGCGCAACCCUUGCCACUAGUUACUAACAGGUAAAGCUGAGGACUCUGGUGGGACUGCCAGCGUAAGCUGCGAGGAAGGCAGGGAUGACGUCAAAUCAGCACGGCCCUUACAUCCGGGGCGACACACGUGUUACAAUGGCGUGGACAAAGGGAAGCCACCUGGCGACAGGGAGCGAAUCCCCAAACCACGUCUCAGUUCGGAUCGGAGUCUGCAACCCGACUCCGUGAAGCUGGAUUCGCUAGUAAUCGCGCAUCAGCCAUGGCGCGGUGAAUACGUUCCCGGGCCUUGUACACACCGCCCGUCAAGCCAUGGGAGCCGGGGGUACCUGAAGUCCGUAACCGAAAGGAUCGGCCUAGGGUAAAACUGGUGACUGGGGCUAAGUCGUAACAAGGUAGC
Molecule: ribosomal RNA, 965 nt
Filed under: uncultured bacterium
Lineage: Bacteria
Description: bacterial SSU rRNA
Rfam family: Bacterial small subunit ribosomal RNA
Source: RNAcentral